AAUGCCCUGCCUGGUUCGUGAUUGGGCGAGCAUAUCCUGACCCGUUAAGAUCGUUUGAUACGGGGUCUUGAUAAUGACGGCGCCGGAAAGCCUCCUUCGAGAGGACUCCGAAACUGCCGUGUGAGGGACCCCACCUCACUAUUGAGGAGUCAGGAUCGAUGCCCUUAACGACUUAUGGUGGGGUAUUU
Molecule: non-coding RNA, 188 nt
Filed under: Kiritimatiellia bacterium
Lineage: Bacteria; Pseudomonadati; Kiritimatiellota; Kiritimatiellia
Description: Kiritimatiellae bacterium (activated sludge metagenome) 6S RNA
Rfam family: 6S / SsrS RNA
About the family: E. coli 6S RNA was the first non coding RNA to be sequenced, but its function was unknown until recently. It consists of 184 nucleotides that fold into an extended hairpin structure with a large single-stranded internal bulge. The 6S RNA specifically associates with RNA polymerase holoenzyme containing the sigma70 specificity factor.
Source: RNAcentral